RNAcentral lists this unclassified non-coding RNA (205 nucleotides) under Hevea brasiliensis (rubber tree). Lineage: Eukaryota; Viridiplantae; Streptophyta; Magnoliopsida; Malpighiales; Euphorbiaceae. The record is from RNAcentral.
GAGGAGGAGGAGAUCGAGCAGCCGCUGACGCUCGUCGUCUACCUCCCGAUCUGAUCCGAGGAGCGAAGCGAACAGGGGCAAGAUGCAUUCGACGAAUCUGCUGCUGGAGGAGCCCAUCAGGAUGGCAUCCAUCCUGGAGCCAUCCAAGCCGAGCUUUUUCCCGGCGAUGACCAAGAUCGUGGGGACGCUGGGUCCCAAGUCGCGC